GUCCACGCUGUAAACGAUGGGCACUAGGUGUCGCGGGUAUUGACCCCUGCGGUGCCGACGCUAACGCAUGAAGUGCCCCGCCUGGGGACUACGGCCGCAAGGCUAAAACUCAAAGGAAUUGACGGGGGCCCGCACAAGCGGUGGAGCAUGUGGUUUAAUUCGACGCAACGCGAAGAACCUUACCCGGGCUAGACAACAGAGGACAACCCUAGAGAUAGGGUCUUCCCUUCGGGGACCUCUGGUUCAGGUGCUGCAUGGCUGUCGU
Molecule: ribosomal RNA, 265 nt
Filed under: uncultured bacterium
Lineage: Bacteria
Description: partial 16S ribosomal RNA
Rfam family: Bacterial small subunit ribosomal RNA
Source: RNAcentral